GGAGAACAGUGGAAGCACGGUGA
RNAcentral lists this non-coding RNA (23 nucleotides) under Arabidopsis thaliana (thale cress). The record is from RNAcentral. Lineage: Eukaryota; Viridiplantae; Streptophyta; Magnoliopsida; Brassicales; Brassicaceae.